AGGUCUUCGGAUGCUGACGAGUGGCGAACGGGUGAGUAAUACAUCGGAACGUGCCCGAUCGUGGGGGAUAACGAAGCGAAAGCUUUGCUAAUACCGCAUACGAUCUACGGAUGAAAGCAGGGGACCGCAAGGCCUUGCGCGAACGGAGCGGCCGAUGGCAGAUUAGGUAGUUGGUGGGAUAAAAGCUUACCAAGCCGACGAUCUGUAGCUGGUCUGAGAGGACGACCAGCCACACUGGGACUGAGACACGGCCCAGACUCCUACGGGAGGCAGCAGUGGGGAAUUUUGGACAAUGGGCGCAAGCCUGAUCCAGCCAUGCCGCGUGCAGGAUGAAGGCCUUCGGGUUGUAAACUGCUUUUGUACGGAACGAAAAGACUCUGGUUAAUACCUGGGGUCCAUGACGGUACCGUAAGAAUAAGCACCGGCUAACUACGUGCCAGCAGCCGCGGUAAUACGUAGGGUGCAAGCGUUAAUCGGAAUUACUGGGCGUAAAGCGUGCGCAGGCGGUUAUAUAAGACAGAUGUGAAAUCCCCGGGCUCAACCUGGGAACUGCAUUUGUGACUGUAUGGCUAGAGUACGGCAGAGGGGGAUGGAAUUCCGCGUGUAGCAGUGAAAUGCGUANAUAUGCGGAGGAACACCGAUGGCGAAGGCAAUCC
This 656-nucleotide ribosomal RNA is filed under the name Acidovorax sp. STEP_aq_283. RNAcentral describes it as "bacterial SSU rRNA". It matches the Rfam family "Bacterial small subunit ribosomal RNA", at positions 74 to 727 of the family's 1533-position model. The record is from RNAcentral. Lineage: Bacteria; Pseudomonadati; Pseudomonadota; Betaproteobacteria; Burkholderiales; Comamonadaceae.